Non-coding RNA from Chlorocebus sabaeus (green monkey), 3479 nucleotides. Lineage: Eukaryota; Metazoa; Chordata; Mammalia; Primates; Cercopithecidae. The record is from RefSeq and is a predicted model, not a curated record.
UUGAGAAAAAUUAGCUUCCCUCAGGCUUCCUUUUGCUGGCUCCUCCCCCUCUCCCUGUCCUUUACUUGUUAAGAUUCCUAAGGGUCAAUCAUUAGAACUCAAUGAUUCUCCCUCCACAUUAUCCCUGGAAAUUUUCACCCAUACCCACAGCUUCCAUAACCACCAAUUCCCACAUGACCCAUGGUUUUCUGUGUUGAACCCAUAUGCCUCCUAGCCCCAUGCCCAUCAGCCCAGCUGCCUACUUAUCAUCUCCGUUGGAUAUCUCAAAGGCAUCUCAAAUUAACCAGGUCCAGAACCAAAUUCUCAUUUCCAUCUCCCAAUCCUCCAGACAAAGAAACAAUAAAAAAAGACAAGACUCUUCUCCUAGUGUUUCCUAACUUCCUGAAUGAUACCAACCAGGUGGAUAAGCAGAAACCAGAACCCAUCGUGGACAUCAUCUUUUCCAUGCUAUUUCCCAUAGCCAAACUAGCACCAGAUCAUAUUAAUUUACCUGCUGAAUACCUUUCAGAUCCUUCAGCUCUUCAUGUGUUUCCCAUCACAGGCCUUUCACUUGAUGUUCCAUGGCCUAGAAAGCUCAUCCUUCCCUCUCCUGGCUACCUGGUCAAUGAUCAGGUCAAUGAUAACAGGCUACAGAAGCUUUUGAUAAUAAAGGCAAAGAAACCAGAACACCACUCCCGCACUGAUAAAUGACUGUGGAGAUCUAUAUUCCUGAAAUCAUGCUGAAAAGACUCUAUUUUCUUUAGGAAAAUGUUUCCCAGCCCUUAAUCAAUUCAUUGAAAACCAAAUCCCAGAGAGGUAAUUCCACAGACUCACUUUUAGGCAAGUUGACUUGCUUCCAUGUUUCUCCAAGUGUGAUCCUGAUCCCUGGGUCACCUAUAUUAGAGUGUUUAUUAGAAACACAAGCUAUCCCAGACCUAGAGACCCAGGAACCUGAAUCUUAACUAUCCCCAGGUGAUUCAGAUGCAAGCUAAAAUUUGAAAUCAAGACUGCGGUUCUAGAGAGUAGACUACCAUGCUUUGCAACUAUCUUGAGCCAGCCUUCAUUUGUCUAGCAACACUUGAGCAAUGACAAGUACCUGCCAACCACUGUUGUCAAAACUUCUCUCCUGGGAAAACAAAAGUCAUGACGUUUUGAGCACAAUUGUGUAUGGGAUGCAUUCAUCAAUAGAGUUGGAAGCACCAAACACCAUAGGAGAGGAAACUUUUAGUUACAAGCACAUAAAUAAAUAAAAUCAAACUCAACAGGAAUGACGUUCCUGAGGAUGGAGAUACAUUUUUUUUUGUUGACCCAUUUAAACUUGAACAUCAAGUGAUAAUCAGUCUCCAGUCAGAAAGUCCCAGGACUUAUAGGAGCAGAAAUCAGAAGACUUUACUCCACAAGCUUCAGGUGGACAUGUGGACAAAGCCAUUUGAGAACAUGACAAAAAUACAGCAAGAGCAGAGACAAGAUCAGAUCAUCCUGGGGGCAGAUGCUGGGCUCUUACCAAUUUGAGAGAGAAAAGGAAAAACAACCCGGCUACAAGAUGUACAAGUAGCAGGCCACAGCCACCAACAUCAGCAGAGCAAUUGGAGGCCAGGAAGACAAGGACGCUUCUGAAGAGACUGAAAAAAGUAGAAGACAGUCCAAGUCACUGCCAGGUUCCAAGGUCUCUUUCGUCAUUAUUGUUACAAGUACCAAGUCAGCCAAAAUCCACUCCACUCUUCAAAACCAUCUUGAAGAGUUGCAGGUCAGGGUUGCUGCAUCUGAGCAUGUUUACUCACAAAAGGUUACAGAUGCUCCUCAACUUACAGUAGGAUUACAUCCUGAUAAAUGCGUCAUAAGUUGAAAAUAUCUCAUAAGUCGAAAAUGCAUUUACUACAGCCUAACCCACUGAACAUUGAAGCUUAGACUAGCAUACCUUAAAACGUGAUCAAGACACUUCCCUCAGCCUACAUUUGAGCAAAAUCACCUAACACGAAGCCUAUUUUAUAAUAGAGCAUUGAAUAGCUCACAUAAUUUAUUGAAUACUAUACAUUACAUAGAAUUUGUGACAGUUUCACACCAUCGUUAUGUCAAAAAAAUCAUUAAGUCGAGCCACCGUAACUCAGGGACUGUCUGUAUUUAUAUUUUUACUUCACGCUAAGCUUUGAAACUGAAAUUUUUGCUCCUCAGCAGAUGGAGUUUCUGAGAAAGACCAAAUUAGUUAUAGAGCACUAAAAAAAAAAAAGAAGAAGAAGAAGACAGAGGAGGAGGGCAACAUGGAGCAGAGGAAGAAGGAGAGACAAAGGAAGAAACCAUUAUUGCUCCCUCAUCUGAACUGCACUGCGAGUCAGCUGGGGCUUCUACCACAGUGUCCUGGAAGCCAUGUUUGCUGCCCAUUUCUGGACUCUCCAGCCACACUGGCCUCGUUUCCCUUUCUCAAACCUGCUGUGGUUCCUACCACUUCCAGAUAAUCUCUUAACAAUCUAUUCCUUCUGCCUGGAAUGCUCUUCCUCCCACCCAGCCCUGUCCUGCCCAGCUAACUCCAUUCUUUGGCCCCUGCAUCACUUUCCCAAGAAAGCCAUUUCUGAACUUCCCUGAUCCCUGCCUCCCAUCUUCACUGGCCCAGAGUUCCCUAUCCUAUAGUCUCAUCGCUCCAACCCAGGCAUUGCUGCCUCCCAGGACUCUUCCCCAUCGCUAAUAUAGUCCUGCUUGAUUGUUCAGUUAAUUUUGCCUCCCCUGAAGACCACAAGCCAUGUUGGCAAUGAUGAUCUUGCUCACCAUUGCACCUCCAGUGUCUAAAAACCAUAGGCAUGUCAAUUCAUUUUUGUUGAGUAAAGGAAUUGUUCAAUAAGUGCACAAAUAAAUUCACAUUAAAACUUGUCCAAAAACAAAGGAGUUUUCUUGUGAGAAGCAGCUGCUCAUUCUGGGGCAUUUGAGUGCAGUGAGAUGACGAUGACAACUAUUGGAGAUGCUUUCAAAGCGAUGCCGGCACUAGACAGAUGGCUGGAGUGCAUACCCUUUAAGGACUCACCUAUCUCAGAAGUCAUGUGUGUUUCUGUAGGUGUAAAUGCACAGAGAGACCGGAAGGAUAUGUGUUCAGCUUCUUUUCAGACUGUGAAGGUCCCUGCAACCAGAAGGAAAGCUGUCUUCAGGAAAGGAUAAAGGGAAUAAGCAUCUGUCUGUGACUCUGGUGGUUGUGCAGACUGGUCACCUCAAGGUGGAGUGACACUGUGGUGGGCAGUGGAGCACCAGUGAGGAAGCUCUCAUAGGCCUGAGCCAACUGAAUUAAUUAAGACCAAGAACAGUAAAGGGACCCAGAGGGCAAACUCUGAGAGGCAGUCAUAACCAGCACCCUCUCCCCAAACCAUAUUACUCAUUCCCACAGAAGUGUGUGUCUGCUUGCCUUUAAUCUGUUCUGACUGUAAGCCAUUUUGAGGUGGAUAUCCCAAUCCCAGUGAUGGCUACCAUGUUCUGCAUUGAGUAGAUGCUUGACACACAUCCAAUAAGUAAAAGCGAGU